Molecule: ribosomal RNA, 253 nt
Filed under: uncultured bacterium
Lineage: Bacteria
Description: partial 16S ribosomal RNA
Rfam family: Bacterial small subunit ribosomal RNA
Source: RNAcentral
UACGGGGGGGGCAAGCGUUGUUCGGAAUUACUGGGCGUAAAGGGCUCGUAGGCGGCCAACUAAGUCAGACGUGAAAUCCCUCGGCUUAACCGGGGAACUGCGUCUGAUACUGGUUGGCUUGAGUGUGGGAGAGGGAUGCGGAAUUCCUGGUGUAGCGGUGGAAUGCGCAGAUAUCAGGAGGAACACCGGUGGCGAAGGCGGGUCUCUGGGCAGUAACUGACGCUGAGGAGCGAAAGCGUGGGGAGCGAACAGG